CUUUUGUGUUAUUUGUACAUCGUUUGGGUGAUGUGUCCCCAAGCGCUUCACUUCCAACUGCGCUGUGAUUGGUCGAAGGUCAGCCUUUGGGCUGAAUGAAUUUACCCCGAAUGGACAGCAUAUGAAGGGGGCGUGUCAGGA
This is a long non-coding RNA of Dicentrarchus labrax (European seabass), 141 nucleotides long. RefSeq lists it as uncharacterized. The transcript has 2 exons. Lineage: Eukaryota; Metazoa; Chordata; Actinopteri; Moronidae. The record is from RefSeq and is a predicted model, not a curated record.